This is a long non-coding RNA of Bufo gargarizans (Asiatic toad), 2925 nucleotides long. RefSeq lists it as uncharacterized. The transcript is spliced from 3 exons. The record is from RefSeq and is a predicted model, not a curated record. NCBI's taxonomy places the organism in Eukaryota, Metazoa, Chordata, Amphibia, Anura, Bufonidae.
UCACAUCAUCAGUUAAAGAAGAGAGAACAACACUGGAGAGAUGUCCUAGUCCUCUUGUUCCACAGGAUGGUUUAGAAGAACAUCACAAUGAUCAGAUGACUGUACCAGGAGCUCAGAGGAACAUCUAAUAUAUUCAGAUUUUAAAACAGAUGAGUCUGGUGUCACAGAAGAUACACGUGAAGAGCAUGGCAUUAUCUCAGAUGUAUCCUCAGCCUUUCACAGCAAAGAUCUGUCAUCUGAUCUUCUGGAUGGAUUUAAAUCUUCUGAUUUAUCACAGAUUGUUAAGCAAAAUAAAAGUCACAGGAGAAGUGUUCAACAUGAAAAAACUCACACAGGAAAGAAGACCUUUUCGUGCUCAGAAUGUGGGAAAUAUUUUAAAUGUGAAUCAGCUCUUGUUAACCAUCAAAGAGUUCACACAGGGGAGAAGCCAUUUUCAUGUUCAGAAUGUGGGAAAAGUUUUAGAACUAAAGCACAGCUUGUUCUGCAUGAGAACAUUCACAAAGAGGAGAAGCCAUUUUCAUGCUCAGUAUGUGGGAAAUGUUUUAAACAUAAAUCAUAUCUUGUUCUGCAUGAGAGAAUUCACACAGGGGAGAAGCCAUUUUCAUGUUCAGAAUGUGGGAAAUGUUCUAGCACUAAAUCAGAACUUGUUACACAUCAACGAAUCCACACAGGGGUGAAGCCAUUCUCAUGUUCAGAAUGUGGGAAAUGUUUUAGAACUAAAUCGCAGCUUGUGCUGCAUAACAGAACUCACACAGGGGAGAAGCCAUUUUCAUGUUCAGAAUGUGGGAAAUGUUCUAGAACUAAAUCGGAACUUGUUACACAUCAACGAAUCCACACAGGGAAGAAGCCAUUCUCAUGUUCAGAAUGUGAAAAAUGUUUUAACUAUAAAACAGAACUUGUUAAACAUGAGAUAAUUCACACAGGUGAGAAGCCAUUUUCAUGUUCAGAAUGUGGAAAAUGUUUUAAUCGUAAAUCACAUCUUAUUAGACAUGAGAGAAUUCACACAGGGAAGACACAAUUGUCAUGUUCAGGAAGUCAGCUCUGAGAAUGUACCUUUACUUCUUUACUGACAGCCAGGCAAGAUGAGUAUGCAGGAAUCUGGCCCUGUUAAUCAAAGAGGAGAGGGAAGGGCUGACAAAGGAAGCAGGGGAAGCAAGAAUGCACAGAAUAUUUACGCCCCUCCCUCACUGCACUUAGAGUCCCAUUUUCUCUCUAUUUGGCCCCACAGAUUGGAAAAGAAAUCCAACGUACAGGAUUGCUGAGUGAGCGUAAAUGAACUGCCUUACCUAUGACAUGGCAGCUCCCUAUCUGAUAGAACGUGGCAGCCUUCGAUGUUCAGGCUAAAGGAGGCACUUAGAGAUUUAUAUAUAUAUAUAUAUAGGCUAGAGCCAUGUGACCACUGACAUCACACCUCCUAACUCCAUUCUACAUUAACCCUCCUGAUAGGCACUCCAUUCAGCAACUCCAUUCUAGCAUUCUCACCAAUGAUCUCUGUACGGUGGAGCUGCUGCACUACCACCAGCAACUCUAUUCUAGAUGUAACUAUGCUGAUUGUGAUCGAUGCUGAAUGAUCUCUAGUCUUUGUGUAGCAGAGCUGGUACUGUGUGAUGUGUAUUCAGCAGAUCUGUCUGAUGUGUAUGUAGCAGAGCUGUGUCUGUUGGUGUGUAUGGAGCAGUGCUGAAUGUGUAGCAGGUGUGGUCACUUUUUUUUUUCUCUUCCACCACUGUUUCCCCCCCCUGAUCCACCCUCUGUGGUUCUGGAGAUCCCAUGUUCCUGACCCUCUUCAGCUCGGAACUAUUCUUAAGGCGGACUUACACGGCCUGAUUAUCGGGAAUAAACGUUAUUACAGAUGUAUUAAUAUGUAGAGGAAACGGUCAGCACUACUGUAGGUGUGGGAUUUAAUUUGGUGCUGCACUGAUCGAAUGUGAGUAGUGGUGGUGCUCAGCAUAAAAAACAAGUAGUAUUUGCAACAAAGGAGAGAAAAGAAAAAAGAAUGCGGCACUCAUCAAAAAAUACUCUUUGCGUGCAGUACUUUUUAUCCGGGCGCCUCUCGGCGUGUGCUGCCGUGCUGCCACCGGAACUCUGCCCCCACCCCCAUUAUAGUCAAUGGGGACAGAGCGGCAGUCCGGGGGCACACAUGAACUAGCGUCAGGACGGAUCUGACAGGCUGUUCACCCGCCGGAACAGUCUGCCGGACUCCCCUGCCGCUAGUGUGAAACUAGUCUUAGCGAAUUGAUUUAACCUGAAUUAGUGUAAAAAACUAAAAAAAAAUCAUAGCUCCUCUAUUUGCUCGCGACUGGCCGCCAGCCGUCACCUCUGCGUGGUGACGUAAGCAAGAUGGCAGCGGCCGGCCUGUCGCAAGCAAAUGGAGGCGGUAAAUUUGAUUAUCUUUUUUUCAAUGUCAAUUUUACACUGUUUGUACACUCAGAUGCCGCUAUCGCAGCUCCGUGUAAUUGCAGCCGCUACUUACAAAACUAAUGCGCUUCGUGACGAAGUAAUUCGUCACAAAGCAAUUUUUUUUUAUUCGGCGAAUCAGCCGAAUCAGACUUUUCAAAAAAUCUGCUCAUCUCUAGUAGCCGCCAUAAGGAUCCACAUUCAUGCUAUGUGUUACAUCACAGUAAACUCAUCCCUGUAUAUGAACAUGUAAAGCCUCAUUCACACAUCAAUGUUCCACACGAGGGUGCUGUACGUGUUCUCCACAGACAGCACACGUCCCCAUUCAUUUUAAUGUUUGUAUUCAGACAUCAGUGUUUUAGCAUGGUCCGUGGGUCUGUGUUUUUAGCAUGGAUGCAUGCUCUAUUUUGUCUGUGUUGGGGGAGCAGGAAAGUACGUUUACCUUUGGAAGUCUACUUGGGCGGGGGGUUGGCCAUUGACAAAAAGUCCCCUUUAAUGAUGACAUCAAUUAAAAAAACUUUUAAGUUUUAA